UACCAGCACCCCGAGUGGUCGGGACGAUUAUUGGGCCUAAAGCAUCCGUAGCCGGUUUUACAAGUCCUCCGUUAAAUCCAACUGCUUAACAGAUGGGCCGCGGAGGAUACUAUAAGACUAGGAGGCAGGAGAGGCAAGCGGUACUCAGUGGGUAGGGGUAAAAUCCGUUGAUCCAUUGAAGACCACCAGUGGCGAAGGCGGCUUGCCAGAACGCACUCGACGGUGAGGGAUGAAAGCUGGGGGAGCAAGCCGG
RNAcentral lists this ribosomal RNA (253 nucleotides) under uncultured bacterium. RNAcentral describes it as "partial 16S ribosomal RNA". It matches the Rfam family "Archaeal small subunit ribosomal RNA", at positions 474 to 727 of the family's 1478-position model. The record is from RNAcentral.